This 1475-nucleotide long non-coding RNA is filed under the name Daphnia pulex (common water flea). Its description in RNAcentral is "uncharacterized LOC124204307". The record is from RNAcentral. Lineage: Eukaryota; Metazoa; Arthropoda; Branchiopoda; Diplostraca; Daphniidae.
AUUUGUCAGACGAUUUAAUAAAAAGAAACACAUUUUUGAAACAUGUGUUUAUUAGCAGUCUCAGUUUAGAUUGGAAUCUUGAACAGUUUUAAUCUGAUUUAAUCGAGGAAAACAGAAUGAAGAGACUAGAUGUUCUUCAAAUCUUGGCAGAAAGGAAUGAAAGAAGAAAACGCGAACUGGAGCUCAAUGGUUUACCGUCAGAAAGCAAUGAUUCUUUGCCCAUAACCCCAAAUUUUUCAGACUCCAUCCUCGUUGAAUCAUCAUCUCAGAGUGCUUCGUCACAAAGCAGUAGACAGGAAGAAUUAAAUCAUGCUACAGUUCUGGAUAUUUUUGAUGACACACAAGUUUAUUGUUUUUAUUCAAAAGACGAAGUAAACUAUUCUUGGCUUGAUAAAGAUCUAGGUAUUAAAGAAGUUCCAAAGAUGUCUUCUUCAGAUUUGGUGAACUAUUUGCGGUCAGAAAUAAAGGGCAAUCAAUUACAACGAUCACUGAAAACCUGCAAAUUAUCAUGUGAUAUUUGUUCUUUCUAAUGUCAGUGACAACAAGCAAAGAUGUGGCAGAAGUGUGUUUUAAGAUUCUUUCAGAAACAAUAUCAGUUAAAACCUUGGUUAAAACUCAACAAUUCUGUGCUAUUGAAGUGCCUGAUUUACUUCUAGUCCUGAUGAAUUUUGGUACUGUUCAAAGUAAGCUUUGGCCUGCGGCUGUGGACAUUUCUUUUCCUCGCCCAUUCCGGAAAUUUUCCAUGAACAGUUUUGAUUCGGAAAAACAUCAUGUCCCUUUCUCUCUCUUGAGUUUCCAUGUGAAAACAUACCCCUACUUUUCCGAGAACGAAAAAAUUGGAAUGUGCAACCUUUUACUAAACCUUUAAAUGGCCAAUUUUAUAGCUGGAGACACUUUUCUAACUCUCAAAAGACAUUAUAUCACGUAUACUUGAAAGUUUUACAGUAGAGGAAUGGAGUGAACUUAAUUUCAAAAUGAUUGAGAAACUUGUUUUGCAGCGUAAUUUUGAGAACCUGGAACCUACAGCGAUGGUUCAACGGAUUACGUACAGUAUAUACCAACGACUACAAGCCGUGGAGUGAUGUUUCAACAGUCUGCCGCCUACUUUGCGAUACAACAUCUCAUGAAUUUGGAAGAAGUUGACCUUCCCGGCCGUGUUUCGGUGAAAGACGUAAAUCGAUUGGUUGAUUUGUUAAGUCGGCAAAAUUUAAAAAAUUAUCGGACAUUUGUUCAGCAUAGUUACUUUGCUCCGUUUAACCUUGGACGUUAAUGAUCCGUCGAUAAAAAAAAAAGAAAUGAAAAAUCUUCACAUAAAGUUGAGCGAAGUCCGUCAUGGAAUCAAUGAUCUUUCGGAUAAGUCGGAUACAACUCCAAUGCUUGUUAAAGAUUUGACGUGUGAGAUUUCGCUCUUCUGGAAAAACUCCAUUCCUAUCGAUAAUGUUGUGUGAGUAAAUUAAACAGCUGCCAACCGGUAA